Molecule: unclassified non-coding RNA, 253 nt
Filed under: uncultured Gammaproteobacteria bacterium
Lineage: Bacteria; Pseudomonadati; Pseudomonadota; Gammaproteobacteria
Description: contains 16S-23S intergenic spacer region
Rfam family: Bacterial small subunit ribosomal RNA
Source: RNAcentral
UACGUAGGGCGCAAGCGUUAUCCGGAAUUACUGGGCGUAAAGCGUGCGCAGGCGGUUCUAUAAGACAGAUGUGAAAUCCCCGGGCUCAACCUGGGAAUGGCAUUUGUGACUGUAGAGCUAGAGUACGGUAGAGGGGGAUGGAAUUCCGCGUGUAGCAGUGAAAUGCGUAGAUAUGCGGAGGAACACCGAUGGCGAAGGCAAUCCCCUGGACCUGUACUGACGCUCAUGCACGAAAGCGUGGGGAGCAAACAGG